ACCGGCGCACGGGUGCGUAACGCGUAUACAAUCUGCCUUUCACAUAGGGAUAGCCCGAAGAAAUUUGGAUUAAUACCUAAUGGUAUAUAGGAGCGGCAUCGUUUUUAUAUUAAAGCUACGGUGGUGAAAGAUGAGUAUGCGUUCUAUUAGCUAGUUGGAGAGGUAACGGCUCCCCAAGGCGACGAUAGAUAGGGGUUCUGAGAGGGAUGUCCCCCACACUGGUACUGAGAUACGGACCAGACUCCUACGGGAGGCAGCAGUGAGGAAUAUUGGACAAUGGUCGGAAGACUGAUCCAGCCAUGCCGCGUGCAGGAUGAAGGUCCUAUGGAUUGUAAACUGCUUUUGUAAGGGAAGAAUAAGGAGUACGUGUACUUUGAUGACGGUACCUUACGAAUAAGCAUCGGCUAACUCCGUGCCAGCAGCCGCGGUAAUGCGGAGGAUGCGAGCGUUAUCCGGAAUCAUUGGGUUUAAAGGGUCCGUAGGCGGGCUGAUAAGUCAGAGGUGAAAGCGCUUAGCUCAACUAAGCAACUGCCUUUGAAACUGUUAGUCUUGAAUGAUUGUGAAGUAGUUGGAAUGUGUAGUGUAGCGGUGAGAUGCUUAGAUAUUACACAGAACACCGAUAGCGAAGGCAUAUUACUAACAAUUUAUUGACGCUGAUGGACGAAAGCGUGGGGAGCGAACAGGAUUAGAUACCCUGGUAGUCCACGCUGUAAACGAUGGAUACUAGCUGUUUGGAGCAAUCUGAGUGGCUAAGCGAAAGUGAUAAGUAUCCCACCUGGGGAGUACGCACGCCAGUGUGAAACUCCAAG
Molecule: ribosomal RNA, 809 nt
Filed under: uncultured bacterium
Lineage: Bacteria
Description: bacterial SSU rRNA
Rfam family: Bacterial small subunit ribosomal RNA
Source: RNAcentral